RNAcentral lists this ribosomal RNA (469 nucleotides) under uncultured bacterium. RNAcentral's name for it is "partial 16S ribosomal RNA". It matches the Rfam family "Bacterial small subunit ribosomal RNA", at positions 28 to 507 of the family's 1533-position model. The record is from RNAcentral.
GAUGAACGCUGGCGGCGUGCUUAACACAUGCAAGUCGAACGGUGAAGCUCCAGCUUGCUGGAGUGGAUCAGUGGCGAAAGGGUGAGUAACACGUGAGCAACCUGCCCCUGACUCUGGGAUAACAGCCGGAAACGGCUGCUAAUACCGGAUAUGCACCAUGAACGCAUGUUCUGUGGUGGGACAGAUUUAUCGGUUGGGGAUGGGCUCGCGGCCUAUCAGCUUGUUGGUGAGGUAAUGGCUCACCAAGGCGUCGACGGGUAGCCGGCCUGAGAGGGUGACCGGCCACACUGGGACUGAGACACGGCCCAGACUCCUACGGGAGGCAGCAGUGGGGAAUAUUGCACAAUGGGCGAAAGCCUGAUGCAGCAACGCCGCGUGAGGGAUGACGGCCUUCGGGUUGUAAACCUCUUUUAGCAGGGAAGAAGCGAGAGUGACGGUACCUGCAGAAAAAGCGCCGGCUAACUACGUG